This 1270-nucleotide long non-coding RNA is filed under the name Salvator merianae (Argentine black and white tegu). RNAcentral's name for it is "lncRNA (ENSSMRG00000000155.1)". The record is from RNAcentral. Lineage: Eukaryota; Metazoa; Chordata; Lepidosauria; Squamata; Teiidae.
CUCGGAGCAAGAAAGAAGCAGCUGCGAGAGGGAGGAAGCAGGUCCUUUCCCAUGGUGGGACAUGUCUGUGGCUGAGAAGCUUAACUGCGGAGUCCUGCAGGGGGAACAGAACAGAGAAGGUGAGGAUGUAUGUAUGGAGCUCUGGAAGGGUGAGUGAGGAGGGGGCUGCAAAUCCUCCACCAAAGCUGUCCUUUCUGAGAAUGGCUCUUUAAAGUGGGGAGGGGGCAGAAUGGGGGAGGCAGAUGAUCCACUGGUAGUGUUUGUUCUGUCAGGGGACAAGAUGGGGGCCGAAUUAGCAGAACAUACACAGAAAACAAAUAUCUUUUAAUUCUCGCUUUUUUUAUAUUUAUCCCCAUAUCGACUUCCCAUUUUUGUUUCAGAGUCUCCAUUAUUUUGGAUUAGGUUCCCAUUACAAAUUUAUAUUCUUGAUAUAAUCUCUCGGCUCCCUUUUCUUUUCUUUUCAAUUCCAUUCCCUUUUCAGAAUCAUUUAGUUUCUUUAGUUUGUGUUUCACUCAAAUAUUUUUCUAAUGCAAGUAACUGAGUGCUUUUACCCUCCCCUUUAAUUCCAUGAACCAUAUCUGAUUAUUUCUGUUAUCAUAAAGUUUCCUAAUGUUUCUUAUACCAUACAUAGAUUUCUAAAUCCAUUACUUUUACAAUCUGGAGCUCAGCACUGUUAUUAUAAAAUGAAGGAAGCCUCCAGUUUCCUUCUGUUUGGUGCUUGGACAGAAAACGUAUUUCCCUUCUUUAUCUAAAUAUACUUUUUUUCCACCAACACCUUAUUAAUCAAUUUAUAGUUGAUAAAGGUUUUGCUAAUUUCUAGGUAAUACUAUUCCUAAAUAUUUUAUAUUUUUACUGUUUUUAAUCCAGCUGUCUUCCUAAUUUCAAUUUCAUCCAUUGGUGGAACAUUUAUAUAUAAUGCAUUUGAUUUAUUCAUAUUUACUUUCAAAUCUGACAACUUCUGACAACUUCCUAAUAUCCCUUUUAAUAUUAACUAACUGAUUUCCCUAUAGGCUUUACAAAAGGUGGCAGGAAAACCAUUACAUGUUGGCACUUCAGCUGUGACAGUAUUCCCCCAAAGGUACUCAAUAAACUCCAUAAAGAAAGAAAAAUUACCUGCCGGCUGAGCAACAGCAUAUGCUGGGGAGAAGAAAAAGAGAUAGAAAGUGAAUCCGGCGGCCAGAAAUACCAGGCCCAGGACAAUCCCCACAACUCCUGUCCACAUCUUGCUCCUGGCCGAAUCUGACUGGGCCUCUGCAGAAAACCAACACCC